Molecule: ribosomal RNA, 422 nt
Filed under: uncultured bacterium
Lineage: Bacteria
Description: bacterial SSU rRNA
Rfam family: Bacterial small subunit ribosomal RNA
Source: RNAcentral
UCGGGAAUUUUGGGCAAUGGGCGCAAGCCUGACCCAGCAACGCCGCGUGAAGGAUGAAGUUUUUCGGAAUGUAAACUUCACAAGACGGGGAAGAAUAAGUGUGGGCGAAGAGCCCCCAUGAUGACGGUACCCGUAGUAAGCUCCGGCUAACUCCGUGCCAGCAGCCGCGGUAAUACGGGGGGAGCAAGCGUUGUUCGGAUUUACUGGGCGUAAAGGGCGCGUAGGCGGUCACCCAAGUCACUUGUGAAAUCUCCGGGCUCAACCCGGAGCGGCCAAGUGAUACUGGGCGACUGGAGUGCGGAAGGGGCAACCGGAAUUCUCGGUGUAGCGGUGAAAUGCGUAGAUAUCGAAAGGAACACCUGCGGCGAAGGCGGGUUGCUGGGCCGACACUGACGCUGAGGCGCGAAAGCCAGGGGAGCGAA